CCUUCAACUAGCACUCCUGUCCUCACCUAUCUGGAUCCCUCCUCCACGCCACCGUCAUUACCGGCUGCCGCCUUUGCCAUAGCCACUCCCCUCGCUGUCGCUAUCAGAUUUGAGAGUGGCAAUACCGCCGCCGUGCAUAGUUUCUUCGCGGCAAAAUCAGCAACUAGGCACAGUCUCUCUUUCGUUCUCUUUCAUUGGAUUUGCUUUCUGAACAGCUGGGGCUGCUUUUCAUUUUGUUCAGCCUCUUCAAAUCAAAGCUUUUAG
Vicia faba (fava bean) is the source of this 264-nucleotide non-coding RNA. Lineage: Eukaryota; Viridiplantae; Streptophyta; Magnoliopsida; Fabales; Fabaceae. The record is from the annotation of a GenBank genome assembly.